RNAcentral lists this ribosomal RNA (432 nucleotides) under uncultured bacterium. Its description in RNAcentral is "partial 16S ribosomal RNA". It matches the Rfam family "Bacterial small subunit ribosomal RNA", at positions 29 to 506 of the family's 1533-position model. The record is from RNAcentral.
AACGAACGCUGGCGGCAUGCCUAACACAUGCAAGUCGAACGAGACCUUCGGGUCUAGUGGCGCACGGGUGCGUAACGCGUGGGAACCUGCCCUUAGGUUCGGAAUAACUCCCCGAAAGGGGUGCUAAUACCGGAUAAUGUCUUCGGACCAAAGAUUUAUCGCCUUUGGAUGGGCCCGCGUUGGAUUAGCUAGUUGGUAGGGUAAAAGCCUACCAAGGCGACGAUCCAUAGCUGGUCUGAGAGGAUGAUCAGCCACACUGGGACUGAGACACGGCCCAGACUCCUCCGGAUGGCAGCAGUGGGGAAUAUUGGACAAUGGGCGAAAGCCUGAUCCAGCAAUGCCGCGUGAGUGAUGAAGGCCUUAGGGUUGUAAAGCUCUUUUACCCGGGAUGAUAAGGACAGUACCGGGAGAAUAAACUCCGGCUAACUCCGU